ACGAUGAUCAGGAGCUUGCUCCUGUGAUUAGUGGCGAACGGGUGAGUAACACGUGAGUAACCUGCCCCUGACUCUGGGAUAAGCGUUGGAAACGACGUCUAAUACUGGAUAUGACCGCCGAUCGCAUGGUCUGGUGGUGGAAAGAUUUUUUGGUUGGGGAUGGACUCGCGGCCUAUCAGCUUGUUGGUGAGGUAAUGGCUCACCAAGGCGACGACGGGUAGCCGGCCUGAGAGGGUGACCGGCCACACUGGGACUGAGACACGGCCCAGACUCCUACGGGAGGCAGCAGUGGGGAAUAUUGCACAAUGGGCGAAAGCCUGAUGCAGCAACGCCGCGUGAGGGAUGACGGCCUUCGGGUUGUAAACCUCUUUUAGUAGGGAAGAAGCGAAAGUGACGGUACCUGCAGAAAAAGCACCGGCUAACUACGUGCCAGCAGCCGCGGUAAUACGUAGGGUGCAAGCGUUGUCCGGAAUUAUUGGGCGUAAAGAGCUCGUAGGCGGUUUGUCGCGUCUGCUGUGAAAUCCCGAGGCUCAACCUCGGGCUUGCAGUGGGUACGGGCAGACUAGAGUGCGGUAGGGGAGAUUGGAAUUCCUGGUGUAGCGGUGGAAUGCGCAGAUAUCAGGAGGAACACCGAUGGCGAAGGCAGAUCUCUGGGCCGUAACUGACGCUGAGGAGCGAAAGCGUGGGGAGCGAACAGGAUUAGAUACCCUGGUAGUCCACGCCGUAAACGUUGGGCGCUAGAUGUAGGGACCUUUCCACGGUUUCUGUGUCGUAGCUAACGCAU
RNAcentral lists this ribosomal RNA (784 nucleotides) under Curtobacterium sp. RNAcentral's name for it is "bacterial SSU rRNA". It matches the Rfam family "Bacterial small subunit ribosomal RNA", at positions 66 to 860 of the family's 1533-position model. Lineage: Bacteria; Bacillati; Actinomycetota; Actinomycetes; Micrococcales; Microbacteriaceae. The record is from RNAcentral.